This 440-nucleotide ribosomal RNA is filed under the name uncultured bacterium. RNAcentral describes it as "partial 16S ribosomal RNA". It matches the Rfam family "Bacterial small subunit ribosomal RNA", at positions 339 to 795 of the family's 1533-position model. The record is from RNAcentral.
CUACGGAGGGCAGCAGUGAGGAAUAUUGCACAAUGGGGGGAACCCUGAUGCAGCAACGCCGCGUGGAGGAUGACGCAUUUCGGUGUGUAAACUCCUUUUAUAUGUCAAGAAAAUGACGGUAGCAUAUGAAUAAGCACCGGCUAACUCCGUGCCGAGCAGCCGCGGUAAUACGGAGGGUGCAAGCGUUACUCGGAAUCACUGGGCGUAAAGGACGCGUAGGCGGGUUGGAAAGUCAGGUGUGAAAUCCUACAGCUUAACUGUAGAACUGCACUUGAAACUUCUAAUCUAGAGUAUGGGAGGGGGAGAUGGAAUUAGUGGUGUAGGGGUAAAAUCCGUAGAUAUCACUAGGAAUACCUAAAGCGAAGGCGAUCUCCUGGAACAUUACUGACGCUAAGGCGUGAAAGCGUGGGGAGCAAACAGGAUUAGAUACCCCAGUAGUC